AAUAGAUACCCGGGUAGUCCAUGCCGUAAACGUUGGGCACUAGGUGUGGGGCUCAUUCCACGAGUUCCGUGCCGCAGCAAACGCAUUAAGUGCCCCGCCUGGGGAGUACGGCCGCAAGGCUAAAACUCAAAGGAAUUGACGGGGGCCCGCACAAGCGGCGGAGCAUGCGGAUUAAUUCGAUGCAACGCGAAGAACCUUACCAAGGCUUGACAUGCACGGGAAGCCACCAGAGAUGGUGGUCUCUUUGGACACUCGUGCACAGGUGGUGCAUGGUUGUCGUCAGCUCGUGUCGUGAGAUGUUAGGUUAAGUCCCGCAACGAGCGCAACCCUCGUCCCAUGUUGCCAGCGGGUUAUGCCGGGGACUCAUGGGAGACUGCCGGGGUCAACUCGGAGGAAGGUGGGGAUGACGUCAAAUCAUCAUGCCCCUUAUGUCUUGGGCUUCACGCAUGCUACAAUGGCCGGUACAAGGGCUGCGAUACCGUAAGGUGGAGCGAAUCCCAAAAAGCCGGUCUCAGUUCGGAUUGGGGU
Molecule: ribosomal RNA, 528 nt
Filed under: uncultured bacterium
Lineage: Bacteria
Description: bacterial SSU rRNA
Rfam family: Bacterial small subunit ribosomal RNA
Source: RNAcentral